RNAcentral lists this unclassified non-coding RNA (341 nucleotides) under soil metagenome. RNAcentral describes it as "partial contains 5.8S ribosomal RNA, internal transcribed spacer 2, and large subunit ribosomal RNA". The stretch from base 1 to 120 matches the Rfam family "5.8S ribosomal RNA", at positions 35 to 154 of the family's 154-position model. The record is from RNAcentral.
GAUGAAGAACGCAGCGAAAUGCGAUAAGUAGUGUGAAUUGCAGAAUUCAGUGAAUCAUCGAAUCUUUGAACGCACAUUGCGCCCUUUGGUAUUCCAAAGGGCAUGCCUGUUCGAGCGUCAUUUGUACCCUCAAGCUUUGCUUGGUGUUGGGCGUCUUGUCUCUAGCUUUGCUGGAGACUCGCCUUAAAGUAAUUGGCAGCCGGCCUACUGGUUUCGGAGCGCGGCACAAGUCGCACUCUCUAUCAGCAAAGGUCUAGCAUCCAUUAAGCCUUUUUUUCAACUUUUGACCUCGGAUCAGGUAGGGAUACCCGCUGAACUUAAGCAUAUCAAUAAGCGGAGGA